GAUGAACGCUGGCGGCGUGCCUAAUACAUGCAAGUCGAGCGAACAAACGAGGAUCUUGUUCCUCUGACGUUAGCGGCGGACGGGUGAGUCACACGUGGAUAACCUACCUAUAAGACUGGUAUAACUUCGGGAAUCCGGAGCUAAUACCGGAUAAUAUCUUGAACCGCAUGGUUCAUUAGUGAAUGACGGUUUUGCUGUCACUUCUCGAUGGAUCCGUGCCGCUUUAGCUAGUUGGUAAGGUAACGGCUUAUCAAGGCAACGAUGCGUAGCCGACCUGAGAGGGUGAUCGGCCACACUGGAACUGAGACACGGUCCAGACGACUAAGGGAGGGAGCAGAAGGGAAUGUUACGCAAUGGGCGAAAGCUUGACGGAACAAGGCCACGUGAGAGAUAAAAGUCUUCGGAUCGUAAAACUCUGUUAUUAGGGAAGAACAAAUGUGUAAGUAACUAAAGACGUCUUGACGGUACCUAAUAAGAAAGCCACGGCUAACUACGUG
Molecule: ribosomal RNA, 497 nt
Filed under: uncultured bacterium
Lineage: Bacteria
Description: partial 16S ribosomal RNA
Rfam family: Bacterial small subunit ribosomal RNA
Source: RNAcentral